AUUUAUCUAAUAUAUUUAAGUAUAUUUGACUUCCAAUCAAAAAGUUUGUUAUUAACAAGAUAAAUA
Molecule: transfer RNA, 66 nt
Filed under: Blaberus sp. B007
Lineage: Eukaryota; Metazoa; Arthropoda; Insecta; Blattodea; Blaberidae
Description: tRNA-Gly
Source: RNAcentral